AUGGAGUGUGUGUAUGUAUGUAUGUAUGUAUAUAUAUAUAUAUAUAUACAUAUAUAUAUAUAUAUAUAUAUAUAUACACACAUACAUAUAUAUAUAUAUAUAUAUAUACAUACACACACACACACACACACACACACACAUUAUAUAUAUAUAUAUAUACAUACACACAUACAUACAUAUAUACACACAUACAUGUAUAUAUAUAUAUAUAUAUAUAUAUAUAUAUAUAUAUAUAUAUAUAUAUAUAUAUACACAUACACACACACAUAUAUAUUAUAUAUAUAUAUACAUACAUACAUACAUACAUACAUACAUACGUACGUACGUACGUACGUAUGUAUGUGUAUGUAUGUAUGUGUAUAUAUAUAUAUAUAUACACACACACACUUGUAUACAAAUGACAUUUUUAUGAGUGCAUUCCACCAUCUCAAACCAUAUGUUGUCUAUUUGAGGUGAAUUUUUUCUUCAAUUAGUUAGCACAACCUUACAACAUCUGCUGUGUACAUGUUGUGUGUAAUAUCUAAGAUUGUCAUGCUGAAAGGAAUUUCUAAAAUUCUUAUGUUCCUCAUGUAGCCAUUGUAACGGAAUAUCUUUGCUGACAUUCUUAUCCUUUGGUGAAUGACAGCCAAGACGUGUAACGGAGUCUUCAGUUGGUAUUUUCAAACUGUUGCACGGCUUACAAAAUGAAUAUCCCUUCAUGUCAAAUAGCAAUUGUUGACAAGUACUGCAUAAUACUGCAUCAUAAAAACACACAUACUACAAAGUAUGAUGUGGUCUUCUCUAGAAUACAAAAAUAAUACUUAUUCUUCAUAUCAAAAUAUACUGCUCUAAUUUUGUGAGGGGAAAACAGUUUUUGUAAACCUUCAUUCCGUAAAAUAUAAUUGCACUUGUGAAACAGCCAUAUUGAAAUAGCAGUUACAGUACUGUUACUAAGAACACGCUUUGGUAACUUCCUUGAGUGUUUUUAGAAGCUGCUAUCAAAUAAAACCGCCAACCACAAAGUCCAUUUCAAAAUAACAAAAAAAUGUUGUUCACUUCUCUUUUCAGUGCCUAGAGAAAUGUCUUAAAGCUGUAACAUACAUUUGUUAAUUAUUAUUAUUAUUAUUAAGGAUACCUCCACUCGUUGCAGUGCAUUAAAACAGAGUCCAUUACUCAGACUGUGCCAUUGAGUUGAGUCUGUGGUGAGUGUCGCCAUUUUGUAACAGAGGCGUGUACUCCUGAAUCAGAACAGGAGCGUUCCUGAGCAUCUCCUGGAAAUGCCGAAGCGUGUCAGCGUAAAGCUCUCUCUGUAACACCAGUGGUCGGAAAAGAUUGAUGGGCUCCGCCGUGUGGAAUGUUGCCGGAACCCGGACUUCUGGUGGAACUUGGCUGUUCCCAACCAGAGCGUGACAGAGUCUCUUCUCCUGAAGACUCCUGUGAAGAAAGCCUAGCAUGUCCCGUAGCCUGUGCUCCAGACUCUCAGAGCCCCAGCUAGACGAGCCCUUACUCAACAACAGGUGCAGCAGGGUCGUCUUCAGGUGAUAGUUGGUCAGAGCACACCUGCCAGUUAGACCCAUCUGUUUCUUGUGUAGGAAAGUGAUGAUCUGAAGGCAGUGGAGGUGGCAGGAAUUUUCAGGCAGGCUUUUAGCCACAUGUUUGAGCAGGUUCCUCUCAUAGACAGCAAAGGAGAGGGGCCAGUAAGUGUCUGAGGAGGUGCUGCUGUCAGAAGGGAAGUGUGAUACAAAGUAGGCAUUUGUGCCAUCUAGUUCCACAACGGGGAUGAUGUUCAUCACAACAACCUUUCCUGAGCGGAAUCUGACCUUCAGUGCGCCAGUAGCAUCCAGGUUGCGGAAAGUGAGCUCAAACUCGUACUUGUGAGAAAUCCGUCCCCAGGCUUUGGUCACGGAGAUCUGGAACCACUUCAUGACCUGGUCCUUAGCCAGAUAAGGUGUGUUCUUGGAGCACAGAAGGUCAUCCGGGGUGUGGUCUGCUCUGGGCUUUUCAUUUUUGCUGUGUAGCAAGCACAGCAUGUCCUCACCCAGGUUGGCAGAGCCACAGAGACAGCCGUCCUCAUUCUCCCCAACCUUUGUCACCUUGAUCCUGCCACAGCCCUGCAUGUCCAGGGGUACGUCACUGGAGGGGCUGCACCACAGCUGGAACUGGAAGGAGUAGGGCUCCGGUGGGGCGAAAGGGACAAUGAGAUCACACAUCAGGGGCUUGCUCACCCUCCACGACUCAAACAUACUCCCAACGCCCACAAAGUCCGCCACCUCCAUGUCAGUCUCCCUGUCACACACACUCCUCAGGGACUCCAGCAGGUCAUCAGCGAAGCCCUCCACAAAUUCCCGCACCCUCCAGUUCUCAUGGGCCGAGGUGUGGAUGCAUCUCUCACAGAAGCUGUUUAGGACUCCCUUAUCGAGCUGGAGUGUCUUGGAACUGAUGGAUCCACCCUCAACAAACCCAUCCUCAUCAUCAGCGUAUCGGGCUUCCAUGUCUGUCAAAUCCUGCCGACAUACCUCAAUAGUGAAGAAGAUGACCAGUGAGAGGGCGCUCCAGAAGUACCAGCCGUAGCCGUCCUCUGAGCCAGGGUCCUGCUGCUCCGUGCCUGCAUACAAGAGCUCCUGCUCCAGCCGCGACUGCUCCAGCUCCAGCCUCUUCUCAUGCUCCCUCAUGCGGGCCAGCAGGGCCUCAUCCUGCUCUGGGAGGGUGGUGUUCUCCUGCGGGAACAGCAGCGGAUGGUUCAAGAUGGCCGCUGCCACCACCACAAACACCCGUGCUAUGGCCCCCUGCAUCCUGGCUCCCUGGACCUCAGGGAGGAGACAAAACCAGUGUCACCCCUCACGCCAGCAUCUCAUCGACUCUGAUCAAGCUGCAGCCCAAAACCUGAAAAAUAAAUAGGAUUUGACAAAAUUAUGAUAUGUCCUUGCAACUUUUUGGGGGAUUUCAUAAUCAGCUUGAGAGCUAUUUUACUUCUUCAAACACGUCGCUAUUGUGUACUGUGCAUUGCGAGG
RNAcentral lists this long non-coding RNA (2990 nucleotides) under Salmo trutta (river trout). RNAcentral's name for it is "lncRNA (ENSSTUG00000018899.1)". The record is from RNAcentral. Lineage: Eukaryota; Metazoa; Chordata; Actinopteri; Salmoniformes; Salmonidae.